This 2313-nucleotide long non-coding RNA is filed under the name Sus scrofa (pig). RNAcentral's name for it is "lncRNA (ENSSSCG00000048702.1, ENSSSCG00110009336.1)". The record is from RNAcentral. Lineage: Eukaryota; Metazoa; Chordata; Mammalia; Artiodactyla; Suidae.
GAACUUCUGCAUGCUGCAGGCAUGGCCAAACAAAACAAAAUACAAAAGUCCAACCAUAUGCUCUUUAUGAGAGAGACAUCUAAAACAUAUGGAUACCAGUAGAUUGAAAUAAUGGAAUUAAGUUACACCGUGGUAGGUAUUAUUACAUAAAACUUAAGGCAGAAUGCAUUACUAAGAGUAAAGGUCAUUGUAUAAUAAAAAUUCCCAAUCACCAGAAGUAUCUACUAAUUCUAGAUUCUACUUACGACUUCAAAACACAUGAAGCAAAAAUUGGUCAUCUACAAGGAGAAAUAUAUAAAUGUACAAUCACGGCGAGAGAUUUUAACACAUUAAAAUCCCGAGGGCAAUCCUUACCUCGUGCAGGAUGAGAACCAAGCAGUAGAAAAAUAAUCACCAUGUCACCCUCAAGUGGUGAUUCUACAUGGCUCUUCAGACAGUCCCCAGAAAAGUAAAGCCCAUUUCCUCUCAGCAGAGAUCAGCUCAGUAGAACAUUGAAUUGGAUUGUCUUCCUUCCUUGUCUUGCUCUCCCCAGACCCCGUUCUUUUUCCCUUGGACUCAUCCCAGAGUAAAUUCUUGCAUGCAAAGUACUUCUCUCAACCCUGCUACUUUGUGGACCCAGGCUAAGACACUUGGUGAUACAAGCAGUUCUACAAACAAACCGUCCAAAUGGAUUCUAGUAUUGGACCAACUGGAUCCAGUAAGGAUCCCAGUCAUGUUGGUAAAUGGGGUGACAUUAACCCUUGGCACGCAGCAGCAUCACAGUUGCUGAGGUUUUCACCAGCAGUGAAUUGGAAUGGUGAAUUCGGAAGAUGAGGCAUUGCUUUAUGUAGUGGCAAUUCAUAAAAAAAUACGUGGUCAAUGUUAAUUAUAGGGAAUGUAGAGCUGGCUGACUCUGGUUGCUGGUCUUUAGAAGUCUUGUGAGAGGAGAGGAAAAUGGCAGCUUGAUUGGCCAACUGUCAACCUCAAGGAAUGCUGUGCAACUGGGAAAGUUUCCAGGACAACAGAGAAAUGUCCCUCUCCCCCCAACAGCCCUAGGAAGAUAGUUGCCAUUCAUCCUAGGCUUUAAUUGUGAGUACAGCUCGGUUACCAAGGAGAACACAGCCUUAAGGAGACUCUGAGGUCAGUGUCAGGGCCCAGCUAAGGAAACAGCAGACCUUGAGACAUGGGGUAAGGGUAUUUGAAUGGACAAAUCUGAGACCCUUGAACCCCACAUUCCUCUGAUCCCAGGAACUGUCCCUCCUCUUUCCUGGAGAAGGAAUGAUCUUCCCUGGCUGCAGACACUGCGAAGACACCACUAGAGGCAGGAGCUUCACAAGGUGGGGUUCGUCCUAAGAUCUGCCUCUACCUCCUUUGUUUCCUCCAGACCAGCCAUCAAGUCAGGCGCAGCCCAAGCAAGAUGAUCCAGCUCCUCCUUUCGGGAGAUACCGUGUGUACUCCAAGGGUCGAAAGUGUUGGUUAACAGGCACUAAAGGUGAACCAGAGACCUCAUGUUGGACUGGGUCUUAAGGAGCAGCCAAGGAAAGAUGCCUCCUUGUGUUUCAGUUUCUUCAACUGGCAAAUCUGAUUACGAGUGCCUGUCCAACCUACUUUAUAUACUUAUUAGAGUAAAUGAAGAAAUUAAUAUUAUAGUGAACUCUGCUAGGGACUGUACUAGGCACUUCACGUAAAUUAUUUAAUUAGGAUAAAAUUGGGCACGUGUAAACACUUAAUCUAGUUCUAAACUUGUUUAGAACACAAACACAACAUUGUAAUCAACUACACGCCAAUACUUUUUUUAAAAGAAGACUUAAAUGUGUUAUUUUUAAUAGCAUGCCCUAGGAAAAAUGCAGAUUUGUGAAACCUUGUUGCCUAAAAGGAAAGAAGAAAAGGAAGCCGGUGUUUCAAAAACUCAGACAUAUUAGAAUAUGGCAUUGAGUAAGCUGUUGUCUUGUUUGGGGGAAGGUGGACCAUCUGAAGAGGGCUUUAGGGACAGUUCUAGUCAUUGACCUUGGGAGAAGCAGGGUAGAAACAGUGCUGCUGCGGAAGCUGAGAGAGCAGUUCUGUGUCCAGUGGAGCACAGUGAACUCCUGGGUGGCACCUGUGGUGUCUUGGGUAACGCAUGGCCUCCCACCCAGACUGCCUCGGUUGGAAUCCCAGCUCUGGCGCUCAGCCCACUGGGGGAUAUUGGACAGGUAGUUACAAAACUCCAUUUUAUGGAGUUCCCUGGUGGCACAGCAGGUGAAGAAUUUGACCUUGGUAGUGCUGCAGCUCAGGUCACUGGUGUGGCAUGGGUUCCACCUCUGGCCUGGGAACUUCCGUAUGCCGGGGACACGG